RNAcentral lists this ribosomal RNA (740 nucleotides) under Rothia dentocariosa. RNAcentral describes it as "bacterial SSU rRNA". It matches the Rfam family "Bacterial small subunit ribosomal RNA", at positions 28 to 776 of the family's 1533-position model. The record is from RNAcentral. Lineage: Bacteria; Bacillati; Actinomycetota; Actinomycetes; Micrococcales; Micrococcaceae.
GACGAACGCUGGCGGCGUGCUUAACACAUGCAAGUCGAACGAUGAAGCCUAGCUUGCUAGGUGGAUUAGUGGCGAACGGGUGAGUAAUACGUGAGUGACCUACCUUUGACUCUGGGAUAAGCCUGGGAAACUGGGUCUAAUACCGGAUACGACCAAUCUCCGCAUGGGGUGUUGGUGGAAAGCGUUAUGGAGUGGUUUUAGAUGGGCUCACGGCCUAUCAGCUUGUUGGUGAGGUAAUGGCUUACCAAGGCGACGACGGGUAGCCGGCCUGAGAGGGUGACCGGCCACACUGGGACUGAGACACGGCCCAGACUCCUACGGGAGGCAGCAGUGGGGAAUAUUGCACAAUGGGCGCAAGCCUGAUGCAGCGACGCCGCGUGAGGGAUGACGGCCUUCAGGUUGUAAACCUCUGUUAGCAUCGAAGAAGCGAAAGUGACGGUAGGUGCAGAGAAAGCGCCGGCUAACUACGUGCCAGCAGCCGCGGUAAUACGUAGGGCGCGAGCGUUGUCCGGAAUUAUUGGGCGUAAAGAGCUUGUAGGCGGUUGGUCGCGUCUGCUGUGAAAGGCUGGGGCUUAACCCUGGUUUUGCAGUGGGUACGGGCUAACUAGAGUGCAGUAGGGGAGACUGGAAUUCCUGGUGUAGCGGUGGAAUGCGCAGAUAUCAGGAGGAACACCGAUGGCGAAGGCAGGUCUCUGGGCUGUAACUGACGCUGAGAAGCGAAAGCAUGGGGAGCGAACAGG